This 812-nucleotide ribosomal RNA is filed under the name Salinimicrobium gaetbulicola. RNAcentral's name for it is "bacterial SSU rRNA". It matches the Rfam family "Bacterial small subunit ribosomal RNA", at positions 90 to 898 of the family's 1533-position model. The record is from RNAcentral. Lineage: Bacteria; Pseudomonadati; Bacteroidota; Flavobacteriia; Flavobacteriales; Flavobacteriaceae.
GACGACCGGCGCACGGGUGCGUAACGCGUAUACAAUCUACCUUUUACAGGGGCAUAGCCCGGGGAAACCCGGAUUAAUAUCCCAUGGUAUCAUUUAGUGGCAUCACUUGAAUGAUUAAAGCUUCGGCGGUAAAAGAUGAGUAUGCGUUCUAUUAGCUAGAUGGUAAGGUAACGGCUUACCAUGGCUACGAUAGAUAGGGGUCCUGAGAGGGAGAUCCCCCACACUGGUACUGAGACACGGACCAGACUCCUACGGGAGGCAGCAGUGAGGAAUAUUGGACAAUGGGCGAGAGCCUGAUCCAGCCAUGCCGCGUGCAGGAAGACUGCCCUAUGGGUUGUAAACUGCUUUUAUACGGGAAGAAACACUCCUUCGUGAAGGAGCUUGACGGUACCGUACGAAUAAGGAUCGGCUAACUCCGUGCCAGCAGCCGCGGUAAUACGGAGGAUCCAAGCGUUAUCCGGAAUCAUUGGGUUUAAAGGGUCCGUAGGCGGGAUAAUAAGUCAGUGGUGAAAGUCUGCAGCUCAACUGUAGAACUGCCAUUGAAACUGUUGUCCUUGAGUAAUUAUGAAGUGGUUAGAAUAUGUAGUGUAGCGGUGAAAUGCAUAGAUAUUACAUAGAAUACCGAUUGCGAAGGCAGAUCACUAAUAAUUUACUGACGCUGAUGGACGAAAGCGUAGGUAGCGAACAGGAUUAGAUACCCUGGUAGUCUACGCCGUAAACGAUGGUUACUAGCUGUUUGGCUCGAUUGAGAGCUGAGUGGCUAAGCGAAAGUGAUAAGUAACCCACCUGGGGAGUACGUUCGCAAGAAUGAA